This 224-nucleotide ribosomal RNA is filed under the name uncultured bacterium. Its description in RNAcentral is "partial 16S ribosomal RNA". It matches the Rfam family "Bacterial small subunit ribosomal RNA", at positions 1 to 219 of the family's 1533-position model. The record is from RNAcentral.
UUCACACAGGGGAGUUUGAUCCUGGCUCAGGACGAACGCUGGCGGCGCGCUUAACACAUGCAAGUCGAGCGAGAACCAGACCUUCGGGUCCGGGGAAAGCGGCGAACGGGUGAGUAACACGUGGGCAACCCACCCUUGGUACCGGGAUAGCCCGGGGAAACCCGGAUUAAUACCGGAUGGCCCAACAGCUCUUUGGGGCGGUUGGAAAAGAUAGCUUCGUCGCC